This 1342-nucleotide ribosomal RNA is filed under the name uncultured bacterium. Its description in RNAcentral is "bacterial SSU rRNA". It matches the Rfam family "Bacterial small subunit ribosomal RNA", at positions 28 to 1381 of the family's 1533-position model. The record is from RNAcentral.
GACGAACGCUGGCGGCGUGCUUAACACAUGCAAGUCGAACGAUGAAGCCCAGCUUGCUGGGUGGAUUAGUGGCGAACGGGUGAGUAACACGUGAGUAACCUGCCCUUGACUCUGGGAUAAGCGUUGGAAACGACGUCUAAUACCGGAUACGAGCUUCCACCGCAUGGUGAGUUGCUGGAAAGAAUUUUGGUCAAGGAUGGACUCGCGGCCUAUCAGCUUGUUGGUGAGGUAAUGGCUCACCAAGGCGACGACGGGUAGCCGGCCUGAGAGGGUGACCGGCCACACUGGGACUGAGACACGGCCCAGACUCCUACGGGAGGCAGCAGUGGGGAAUAUUGCACAAUGGGCGAAAGCCUGAUGCAGCAACGCCGCGUGAGGGACGACGGCCUUCGGGUUGUAAACCUCUUUUAGCAGGGAAGAAGCGAAAGUGACGGUACCUGCAGAAAAAGCACCGGCUAACUACGUGCCAGCAGCCGCGGUAAUACGUAGGGUGCAAGCGUUGUCCGGAAUUAUUGGGCGUAAAGAGCUCGUAGGCGGUUUGUCGCGUCUGCUGUGAAAUCCCGAGGCUCAACCUCGGGUCUGCAGUGGGUACGGGCAGACUAGAGUGCGGUAGGGGAGAUUGGAAUUCCUGGUGUAGCGGUGGAAUGCGCAGAUAUCAGGAGGAACACCGAUGGCGAAGGCAGAUCUCUGGGCCGCUACUGACGCUGAGGAGCGAAAGGGUGGGGAGCAAACAGGCUUAGAUACCCUGGUAGUCCACCCCGUAAACGUUGGGCGCUAGAUGUGGGGACCAUUCCACGGUUUCCGUGUCGUAGCUAACGCAUUAAGCGCCCCGCCUGGGGAGUACGGCCGCAAGGCUAAAACUCAAAGGAAUUGACGGGGGCCCGCACAAGCGGCGGAGCAUGCGGAUUAAUUCGAUGCAACGCGAAGAACCUUACCAAGGCUUGACGUAUACGAGAACGGGCCAGAAAUGGUCAACUCUUUGGACACUCGUAAACAGGUGGUGCAUGGUUGUCGUCAGCUCGUGUCGUGAGAUGUUGGGUUAAGUCCCGCAACGAGCGCAACCCUCGUUCUAUGUUGCCAGCACGUAAUGGUGGGAACUCAUGGGAUACUGCCGGGGUCAACUCGGAGGAAGGUGGGGACGACGUCAAAUCAUCAUGCCCCUUAUGUCUUGGGCUUCACGCAUGCUACAAUGGCCAGUACAAAGGGCUGCAAUACCGUAAGGUGGAGCGAAUCCCAAAAAGCUGGUCCCAGUUCGGAUUGAGGUCUGCAACUCGACCUCAUGAAGUCGGAGUCGCUAGUAAUCGCAGAUCAGCAACGCUGCGGUGAAUACGUUCCCGGGCCU